GAUGAACGCUGGCGGCGUGCCUAAUACAUGCAAGUCGAGCGAACGGACGAGAAGCUUGCUUCUCUGAUGUUAGCGGCGGACGGGUGAGUAACACGUGGAUAACCUACCUAUAAGACUGGGAUAACUUCGGGAAACCGGAGCUAAUACCGGAUAAUAUUUUGAACCGCAUGGUUCAAAAGUGAAAGACGGUCUUGCUGUCACUUAUAGAUGGGUCCGCGCUGCAUUGGCUAGUUGGUAAGGUAACGGCUUACCAAGGCAACGAUGCAUAGCCGACCUGAGAGGGUGAUCGGCCACACUGGAACUGAGACACGGUCCAGACUCCUACGGGAGGCAGCAGUAGGGAAUCUUCCGCAAUGGGCGAAAGCCUGACGGAGCAACGCCGCGUGAGUGAUGAAGGUCUUCGGAUCGUAAAACUCUGUUAUUAGGGAAGAACAUAUGUGUAAGUAACUGUGCACAUCUUGACGGUACCUAAUCAGAAAGCCACGGCUAACUACGUG
Molecule: ribosomal RNA, 497 nt
Filed under: uncultured bacterium
Lineage: Bacteria
Description: partial 16S ribosomal RNA
Rfam family: Bacterial small subunit ribosomal RNA
Source: RNAcentral